Small nucleolar RNA from Zingiber officinale, 85 nucleotides. RefSeq annotates it as small nucleolar RNA snoR20a. The transcript has a single exon. The record is from RefSeq and is a predicted model, not a curated record. NCBI's taxonomy places the organism in Eukaryota, Viridiplantae, Streptophyta, Magnoliopsida, Zingiberales, Zingiberaceae.
GCCAAUGAUGACUAUUUUCAAAGAUUAAAGCAAGUCUCUGUACUUGUUUUAUGUUGAGAAAUUUGAAACUAGGACGGUCUGAGGU